UGCCUAAGACCCUUAGCUUCAGUUGUUUCAAUCAUUCCAUAAUAAUCCAAUCCAUGAACACGCCAAAGAUAAGUAAUAAGCGUAUCCAACAGUUCAGAGCCCUCCAGACCUUUGACAGAGGUUAAGCCUCGUAUGAUGAUAACAGGGCCAGUGGAGCUGCUAUGAGAUUUCUCUCCAUUGAUUUUGUCAUUAUCAGAUCCACCUAAAAUAUUUGCUUCAAUUCCCUUUUCAGAGUCAAGCUUGCGUACAAGGGCCAGAGCUUGUUCAACAUCAACUUGAAUUCUUCUGGAUUCUGAGCUGACUGGGUGAGCCUUAGGAGCAACUGAGAGAAGAACAGUUUCUUUAGCUUGUGUACGGCCCUGCCGUCUUCUUUUGCCGCCAGUGUCUACUUCAUCAUCAGAAUUUGGAUUGCUUGUCUUUCCAGAUUUAUUUACAGAUACGACAUUGAUACCAGGACCUAAGUCCAAUGUUCCACUUUGCAAGUCAAGCAGAAAGUCCUUUGCAACCUUCCGUGCCAGUUCAUUCCUCCUUUCUAUAACUGCAACCAAAUUGGUUGGAUGAUAUUUGUCUCUCAACCAUUCUUCAUCUUUAUGAGACUCAAAGAAAACUCGUUUCUGAGUAGAAAUGUACUCUGACUUGUAUUCUUGAUAUCUGCGCUCUGCUUCAGCUGGUACAAUAUCAUCUUCAAGCUCCUGAAUGAACUGCUUGUAUGACAUCAAGCCUUCUCUUUGAGCGCUCACUGUGUUGGAAGCAUCGACACAACCACCACGUCCAGAAUCCCAAUCAGAGGGACUGCUCUGAAAUCCACCUGCACGACACAUGUACCGGCCAUGAGGCCUGUCUUCAGGAUACCCAGGCCUGCCCCCCAUCUCACGUUCAUAUCCACCAGCAUAAUC
Molecule: unclassified non-coding RNA, 896 nt
Filed under: Hevea brasiliensis (rubber tree)
Lineage: Eukaryota; Viridiplantae; Streptophyta; Magnoliopsida; Malpighiales; Euphorbiaceae
Source: RNAcentral